Molecule: long non-coding RNA, 8416 nt
Filed under: Triticum aestivum (bread wheat)
Lineage: Eukaryota; Viridiplantae; Streptophyta; Magnoliopsida; Poales; Poaceae
Description: long non-coding RNA (TAES_LNC026173)
Source: RNAcentral
UGCCCUCCUGCUACUGCUGCUGACCCCUCCGAUUGGCUACUGCGAUUCGAUUGUCUUGUGCAUCUGAUUCAAAUGUGAUUGGUUUGCUGUGUGGAGCAUUCGAACCCUUGAUUUGAUAUCUUGUAGGUGAGUGAGACUCUUGUAGGCGUGUCCGCGGGGAAUGGUUAGGGGGUGUGGUUGAUUAUCUCUUGUACCGUGUUGUGUUCUAUGGAUAAUAAACGAUUGUGUUGUGUUGCUGUUCAUUGAAUAAUCAAUCAUUCAGUCUGUUUGCUCCAUGUUGCACUAGUAUAUGGAGUCUGCGACUACUGAAACCUGAAGUUGGAUUCGGGUGCUAUAUAUGCCUAUGCCCGCAUUCCAGUUUACACUGAGUCUUGUCGAAACUUUUCAAUUCUUCAUUGUAGUUUUCUACUUUUAUUUAGACAGUAGGCAGCACCCAUCUUUUCAUUCAUAAUCUUUUCAUUACAAGCAUUGGUCCUCAUAGCUUCAGGUUCCUCUUUGUACCAGCAGCAUUGAUCAUAUUCUGCAGAUUUUGAAAGAACAUGAGCUGGACCAUUGCUACAACAUUUUACAUGAAUAAAAAUUAUUACUAGAUAAAAACAUCGAGGCUCUAUUCUUGGUACUAUCUUGGACAUUGGCGCCUGUAGAUGAUCUGUCAAACUCACUUUGCACCUUAUUUAUCAGAGAUAGGGGGGUGGUCUGAACUACCUACCUCUGAAAACUCUUAACUACAACAUUUAUCUUAUGAAAACCUGAACUCAUGCUAAAAGACCUGGCGCGAUGCAAGGGCUUCAGCCACUUCUGGGAUCCCAACAUGGUGAAUGGCAGCCUGAUUCGCUGCCUGCACUGAUCCAUGAACAAGGGCGCCUAGACCAGCUUGUUCAGACUUCAGAGUGGGCAAAAGUCGCCGCAUCAACAUUUAUCUGCGACACAUCUUCCUGUGGCGGAGACCAUUUUCUUUUUGAUGAUGAGGUAUUGAGGUCAUGCCAGGCUUUGAUUUUACCCACAAUACAGCUCGCUAUUACUGGAGCUGUUCCUGUUUCCCCAAAUACCGCGUUGUAUAGUUGUUGCCAGUGCCAUAUAUAUCAUGGAAAUCUGAAGCUUCGCCAGUUCAGAAUUUCAGCCCAAUAUCCAUGGCCUGAUAUCAACAAAGCUUGUUAGCUUUAGGCAAAUACCAUAUUCAUAUUUAUUUAUUUCCACCCAUAGCUCUUGGACAUAUUGUCACUGUAAAAAAGAAAAGCAACGAUCCACAUCUUCCUUACAAUUACAAUUACAGCCGUACCUUGUGGGAACUGAUCUCAGUUGGAGUUGAGAACCUUGCGGGCAGACAAUUAUGGGCCAGCCUCCAAAGCACCACCUUCAUCUUGUUAGGAACUGAAUUUUCACCCAUGGCUUCUCCAUAGUCUUCAGGUGGGACGAGAUACCCUUCCCUGAGGAACAACGUUCAGACCGGAAAAAAAGUGUCUUCAGCCCAGGUUGUAAGCCUGAUAAAAUCCCAAGCUUUCCUGUAAGUUUAGAUGGUAGCAGUCGCCUCCCCUCUUGGCCUCUUUCUUCUUUGUAGUUUAGAAGCUGGCGUCUAGAGGUCCGUGGCCUAGUUUUUAUUUUUAUUUUGAUAUGAGGCAAAAGAUUUGCCAUUUUCAUCGAUUAAGAGAGAAGUUUUAGAGGUUAAGGUCCAAGGCCGAACUACAACAACCUCUCAUGUGGCAUUACGUUACUCAAGUGCCUUGCUCCUGCAAUACUCCAAAGAUAGGUCUCCUCUUUAAUCCUAGCAACGAUGACUCCCACCGAAACGGCAUUAUUACGGAAGAUCCGUCCAUUCCUCUCUUUCCACAACCCCCCAAGAGAUAAGCAACAUCAAGGAAGCAAGUAGCCCUCGCGAUUGGGUCUUCUUGGUAGCAUUGUGGCUCCACCUCUCUUUAGCGGAAGCCGCGUCACCCCGGUCGAAGGAUGCACUUCAUGGUGACCAAGACAAUCUUUGAUCAUGUGCCAAAGUCUGAAUGGGUGGACCUGCUUGCACGGGGAACAAAGGUUAUAGUUUGGCGAGGCCACGAUGAUGAAGCUUGUCUGCUGUCCAAUCCUAUUUGUUGAUUGCCAUCCAUGCGAAGAACUUGUAUUUAGAAGGUGCCCAAAUCUUCCAAACAGUCGGGAUCAUGGCCCUGUCAGCCUGGCCAAAGAAUUGCACCUUGUAUGUCGACGCUGCCGAGUAGUGUCCGCCAGUAGUGAACUUCCAAGUGAUAGUGUCAGGCUUGUCAAUAUUAAGGUGGACAUGGGAGAGCCUCUCCCAAAGGUUGACAAACUCAAAGAUGUGUUCGACGGGGAUGCCUUGAAGAAUGUCCACCUAGGAAGUCAAGUAGUUGUCGUGUAAAGCCAUUUGAACCAAGCAAUUUUCUUCUUCGACAAAUCAUAGAUUUUUGGAGCCACAUCUUUGGGCCUAAUCCCAUUGAGCAAAGGUGACUCCCAGUACUUGGCACACAUGCCAUACCCAACUUGGACCUUGGUAGCCGCGACAAAGAUAUCUCGGCCAUUGGCAUCACAAGGAGUUCCCAAACCAAACCAUGGCUUGUACGGGUGAAGCCACUCAGCCCACAAGCACCAGAGGCGAAGGGGAAUGGAAAACUUGUCAAGAUUUAGGAUUCGAAGGCCUCCAUGCAGGUUGGACUUGCACACUUGCUUCCAAUUUAGCUUGCAUUUUCCACCUAUGACCUUAUCACAGCCUGCCCAAAGGAAAGCACGUCUGAGCGCAUCGAUCUUCUUCUUGACCUCCACCGGUAAAUCUAACACCGUCAUGUAGUAGAUAGUAAUCGCCAUGAGGAUCGACUUGACCAAGACCGCAUGACCCGUUGAGGCAAUAUGCCUUCCCACCCAAGGAGUGAACUGACUAUUGUCCUCAAGGGGCUUGUAGUGAAUUCUCUUCAAUCUCUUGACAAAGGCAAACCAAGGUAUAUUCGUCGGAAAGGAGGAAUACUUGGCAAGUCAGGACUAGAGGAUGUCCGGAAGAUCAACAUUUUCGGAACGGAUUGGGGCCACAAAACUUUUGGAACAAUUUGUGAAAAGGCUAGCGACACCCCCAAAGUGCUUGAGAGUGCUCGUGAAGAACUGGACGUCCUCCUUAAUGGGUGCAAGAAAAACAACAGCGUCGUCCGUGUAAAGCGAAGUAUGGAUACACAUAGCAUUUCCACCAAGGGGAUGAAGGUUUCUCUGAGCCGUGGCCUUCACAUGAAUGUGAGGAUGAAUAGCAGGAGGUAGAUGCUCCCAUGCCUCAACCCACAACCAAGCUUGGUGGAAUCGUCAGGCACGCCAUUGAGCAGAAUGCGCGACGAAGCCGAGGGCAGCAGUGUCAAAACCCAACCUAUGAAGUGAAGUGGGAAACCAAGGUGUCAAGGCAGUUCGAGGAGAAAAGACCACCGAACCGAGUCGAAGGCUUUUUUUAAUGUCAAGUUUGAAGAGACGCUAGGGUUUCCCAAUGGUAGAAGCGUCUCGCGAGAUUGCGCACAUACAUGAAAUUGUCGUGGAUGCAUCUUUUUUUUAAUGAAUGCAUGUUUGGCGUGUGAGAAGAGCUCAUUCAUGUGCGAGGUAAGUCGGUUGGACAUCAUUUUAGCAAUUAGCUUAGCGACGACAUGGAUAAGAUGAAAGAAAUAUGCCCUAGAGGCAAUAAUAAAGUUUUUAUUUAUAUUUCCUUAUAUCAUGAUAAAUGUUUAUUAUUCAUGCUAGAAUUGUAUUAACCGGAAACUCAGUACAUGUAUGAAUACAUAGACAAACAAGAGUGUCACUAGUAUGCCUCUACUUGACUGGCCCGUUAAUCAAAGAUGGUGAAGUUUCCUAGCCAUAGACAUGAGUUGUCAUUUGAUGAACGGGAUCACAUCAUUAGAGAAUGAUGUGAUUGACAAGACCCAUCUAUUAGCUUAGCACUAUGAUCGUUUAAUUUGUUGCUAUUGCUUUCUUCAUGACUUAUACAUGUUCCUAUGACUAUGAGAUUAUGCAACUCUCGAAUACCGGAGGAACACUUAGUGUGCUAUCAAACGUCAUAACGUAACUGGGUGAUUAUAAAGAUGCUCUAUAGGUGUCUCCGAUGGUGUUUUUUGAGUUGGCAUAGAUCGAGAAUAGGAUUUGUCACUCCGAUUGUCGGAGAGGUAUCUCUGGGCCCUCUCGGUAAUGCACAUCACGAAUAGCCUUGCAAGCAAUGUAACUAAUGAGUUAAUUGUGGGAUGAUGCACUAUGGAACGAGUAAAGAGACUUGUCGGUAACGAGAUUGAACUAGGUGUGAUGAUAUCGACGAUCGAAUCUCAGGCAAGUAACAUACCGAUGACAAAGGGAACAACGUAUGUUGUUGUGCGGUUUGACCGAUAAAGAUCUUCGUAGAAUAUGUAGGAACCAAUAUUAGCAUCCAGGUUCUGCUAUUGGUUAUUGACCGGAGAUGAGUCUCGGUCAUGUCUACAUAGUUCUUGAACCCGUAGGGUCCGCACGCUUAACAUUCAAUGAUGAUAUGUAUUAUGAGUUUUGUGAUUUGAUGUACCGACGGUUGUUCGCAGUCCCGGAUGUGAUCACGGACAUGACGAGGAGUCUCAAAAUGGUCGAGACAUGAAUAUUGAUAUAUUGGAAGGUUAUGUUUGGACACCUGAAUGGUUUUGGAUGAGUUCGGGCAUUUUUCGGAGUACCGGGGGGUUACCGGAACCCCCCGGGGAUUUAAUGGGCCUUAAUGGGNNNNNNNNNNNNNNNNNNNNNNNNNNNNNNNNNNNNNNNNNNNNNNNNNNNNNNNNNNNNNNNNNNNNNNNNNNNNNNNNNNNNNNNNNNNNNNNNNNNNNNNNNNNNNNNNNNNNNNNNNNNNNNNNNNNNNNNNNNNNNNNNNNNNNNNNNNNNNNNNNNNNNNNNNNNNNNNNNNNNNNNNNNNNNNNNNNNNNNNNNNNNNNNNNNNNNNNNNNNNNNNNNNNNNNNNNNNNNNNNNNNGUUGGACUAGGAAAGGGGGGGAACCUACUCCUAGUAGGAGUAGGAAUCCCCCCUUGGGGCGCGCCAUAGGAGGCCGCCCCCCCCCUCCUCCACUCCUUUAUAUAGGGGGAUGGGGGCACCCCAUAGACACACAAGUUGAUUUUAGUCGUGUGCGGUGCCCCCUCCACAGAUUUCCACCUCGGUCAUAUUGUCGUAGUGCUUAGGCGAAGCCCUGCAUCGGUAACUUCAUCAUCACCGUCACCACGCCGUCGUGCUGACGAAACUCUCCCUCGGCCUUAGCUGGAUCUAGAGUUUGUGGGACGUCACCAAGCUGAACGUGUGCAGAUCGUGGAGGUGCCGUACGUUCGGUACUUGAUCGGUUGGAUCGCGAAGACGUUCAACUACAUCAACCGCGUUUAACGCUUCCGCUUUCGGUCUACGAGGGUACGUGGACACACUCUCCCCGCUCGUUGCUAUGCAUCUCCUAGAUAGAUCUUGCGUGAUUGUAGGAAUUUUUUUUGAAAUACUGCAUUCCCCAACAAUGGUAUCCGAGCUAGGUCUAUGCGUAGAUGUUAUAUGCACGAGUAGAACACAAAGAGUUGUGUGCGAUAAUAGUCAUACUGCUUACUAGCAUGUCAUAAUUUGAUUCGGCGGUAUUGUUGGAUGAAGCGGCCCAAACCGACAUUGCAUGACUGCGUUCAUGAGACUAGUUCUACCUCCGUGCUUCGCACACAAGUGGCUAGUGGGUGUCUAUUUCUUCAACUUUAGUUGAAUCGAGUGUGACUACGCUCGGUAUUUGUUGAAGGUUAAAACAACACACUUGAUGAAAAAUCAUUGUGGUUUUGAUGCGUAGGUAAGAAUGGUUAUUGCUAAGCCUGUAGCAGCCACGUAAAACUUGCAACAACAAAGUAGAGGACGUCUAACUUGUUUUUGCAGGGUUUGCUGUGAUGUGAUAUGGUCAAGACGUGAUGAUAUAUAAUUUGUUGUAUGAGAUGAUGAUGUUUUGUAACAGUUAUAGGCAACUGGCAGGAGCCAUAUGGUUGUCGCUUUAUUGUAUCAAAUGCAAUCACCAUGUAAUUGGCUUACUUUAUCACUAAGCGGUAGCGAUAGUCGUAGAAGCAAUAGUUGGCGAGACGACAACAAUGCUUCGAUGGAGAUCAAGAUGUCAAGCCGGUGACGAUGGUGAUCAUGACGGUGCUUUGGAGAUGGAGAUCAAAGGCACAAGAUGAUGAUGGCCAUAUCAUAUCACUUAUAUUGAUUGCAUGUGAUGUUUAUCCUUUAUGCAUCUUAUUUUGCUUAGUUCGGCGGUAGCAUUAUAACAUGAUCUCUCACUAAAUUUCAAGGUAUAAGUGUUCUCCCUGAGUAUGCACCGCUGCGAUAGUUCGUUGUGCCGAGACACCACAUGAUGAUCGGGUGUGAUAAGCUCUACGUUUACAUACAACGGGUGCAAGCCAGUUUUGCACACGCAGAAUACUCGGGUUAAACUUGACGGGCCUAGCAUUGAAGGAAAUAUGCCCUAGAGGCAAUAAUAAAGUUGUUAUUUAUAUUUCCUUAUAUCAUGAUAAAUGUUUAUUAUUCAUGCUAGAAUUGUAUUGACCGGAAACUGAGUACAUGUGUGAAUACAUAGAGAAACAGAGUGUCACUAGUAUGCCUCUACUUGACUAGCUCGUUGAAUCAAAGAUGGUUAAGUUUUCUAGCCAUAGACAUGAGUUGUCAUUUGAUUAAUGGGAUCACAUCAUUAGAGAAUGAUGUGAGUGACUUGACCCAUCCGUUAGCUUAGCACGAUGAUCGUUUAAUUUGUUGCUAUUCUUUGUUCAUGACUUAUACAUGUUCAUAUGACUAUGAGAUUAUGUGUGAUAGCCUGGCUUAUUAGGGAUGAUAGACUACUCAUAUCAAUAAGGAAUUCCUUCUUUUCCGGGAGCCCAUUCGGAUAGAAUUCCAAAGUUAAGCGUGCUCAGCUUGGAGUAGUGUCAGGAUGGGUGACCGAUCGGGAAGUUGCUCCCGGGUGCGCAUGAGUGAGGACAAAGUGCGUAGAAAAGACUAGUAUUGAUCUGUGGGGCCAGUCUAGAUCCCGCCAGGAGUAACGACCACCGGCGGGUGUGUCCGGGGCGUUACAUUAUGCAACUCCCGAAUACCGGAGGAACACUUAGUGUGCCAUCAAACGUCACAACGUAACUGGGUGAUUAUAAAGAUGCUCUACAGGUGUCUCCGAUGGUGUUUGUUGAGUUGGCAUAGAUCGAGAUUAGGAUCUCAGCUAUUGUGUUCCUCCUGGCCAACCGCAUCUCGCUCGAGCAGCUCAUCCAGCCCAUCGCCAACGGCGCCACCGUGCUCUCCCUGGACACCGACUUUGAUGGCUGUAUGCGGCUCAUCAGGGAGGUGACCGCUAAGUUGCCCAUUUACCUUGCCAAUUCGCUCAACUCUCUCAGGCUCGAGGGGCAGAAGACAGCAGCCAUUGAGAUACUGCAGCAGUUUGAUUGGGAGGUCCCCGAUUGGGUCAUUGUCCCAGGAGGCAAGCUCAGAAACAUAUAUGCAUUCUACAAGGGAUUCGAGAUGUGCCAUGUUCUUGGUCUGGUUUAUCGUCUGCCUCGGCGUGUCUGCGCACAGCCUGCCAAUGCCAACCCACUGUACCGCUACUACAAGUCAGGGUGGACGCAGUUCCGGCCACAAGUGGCCGAGCCUACAUUUGCAUCGGCGAUUCAGAUUGGUGACCCUGUAUUUGUCGACCGUGCGGUGGUCGCACUCAAGGCAACAAAUGGCAUCAUCGCGGAGGCCACAGAGGAGGAGCUCACGAACGCAAUGUCCCUCGCUGACCGCACUGGCAUGUUUGCGUGCCCGCACACUAGGGUCGCGCUCGCGGCGCUCUUCAAGCUCCGGGAAGAGGGCACCAUCGGGGCAAAUGACCGCACAGUGGUCGUCAGCAUGGCGCACGGCCUCAAGUUCUCCCAAUCCAAGAUAGACUACCAUGAUCAGAAGAUCGAGGACAUGGCCUGCAAGUACGCCAACCCGCCGGUCAGCAUGAAGGCCGACUUCAGCGCCGUCAUGGACGUCCUCAAGAAGAGGCUCAAGGGUAAGCUGUGAGCCUUCCCUCCUGCUGCUGCUGCUGCUGACCCCUCCGAUUGGCUACUGCGAUUCGAUUGUCUUAUGCAUCUGAUUCAAAUGUGAUUGGUUUGCUGUGUGGAGCAUUCGAAACCCUUGAUUUGAAAUCUUGUAGGUGAGUGAGACUCUUGUAGGCGUCUGCGGGGAAUGGUUAGGGGGUGGGGUUGAUUAUCUCUUGUACCGUGUUGUGUUCUAUGGAUAAUAAACGGUUGUGUUGUGUUGUUGUUCAUUGAAUAAUCAAUCAUUCAGUCUGUUUGCUCCAUGUUGCACUGGCUUGCUGGAAAUGUUCACUGCUUUAUGGACUGUCACUAGUAUUUGAUGUUUCUUCUGAAGGAGUCUGUGACUACUGAAACCUGAAGUUGGAUUCAGGUGCUAUAUGCAUAUCCUCGCAUUCCAGUUU